Molecule: ribosomal RNA, 321 nt
Filed under: Lamproderma ovoideum
Lineage: Eukaryota; Evosea; Eumycetozoa; Stemonitida; Stemonitidae
Description: SSU rRNA
Rfam family: Eukaryotic small subunit ribosomal RNA
Source: RNAcentral
UCUGAAUCUGCGAACGGCUCCGCAAACCAGUUGUAAACUAUAGCAAGCAGGCUCGGGGUCGGCUCUCACGGGUUGGCUUCGGGCGAUAUGGAUAACCCUGGUAAUUCUGAGGCUAAUACAUGAACGUAAAACCUGGUUGACUGGGCUUCGGUCUGGGAGGCUGGGGGAUGUGUGAUUGCAGGCUUGGGUAACACCGGGAAAGGGCACACGUCCAGACCGCGCUAUAAAGGAUGGGACCCCUUCGGGGGACCCGCCCCAGCGGCUCUUGCUGUGUGCUUCUGACCUAUCAACUAGACGGCAGCGUAAGGGACAUGCUAUGGU